GGAAUCUUCCUCAAUGGGCGAAAGCCUGAUGGAGCAACGCCGCGUGUGUGAUGAAGGGUUUCGGCUCGUAAAACACUGUUGUAAGAGAAGAAUGACAUUGAGAGUAACUGUUCAAUGUGUGACGGUAUCUUACCAGAAAGGAACGGCUAAAUACGUGCCAG
Molecule: ribosomal RNA, 161 nt
Filed under: uncultured bacterium
Lineage: Bacteria
Description: partial 16S rRNA
Rfam family: Bacterial small subunit ribosomal RNA
Source: RNAcentral